ACGUGCUCGCUACUAUUUACAUCCAUCAGUUUUAUUUAGCACGAAUUUUUGGAGGGAAGUGAAGCAGAAUCAUGGUACUAAAGAAAUUAUAUUUACAAACGCAUGUUACUGCUUUGUGUACCGUUGAACCUCAUUUUUUAUUAGAAGGUUGCGGAGGCUUUAUAAACCUUUAUGACUUCGACUCUAACGAGCUUUUGGAAAGCCUCGACAUAUUUCGAGGUGCCAGAAUUCAUGGUAUUCGAUAUUCACUGCAUAAUAAAACAGUGAUUGUUUUCGGUGGAAAGCUGUUUGCACUGGUGUCAUUCAACGAUUCUAAAACUGCUCUACCGAGAUUGAAACUUUUACAGAAAUCCAAUGAAGCUGACUGGAUAAGGGAUGCUAAAUUUGUAAAUAAUGGGGAUUAUCUUGUCAAAUUAACUUCUCACAACAAAGUUAUCAUCGAAAAAACGUCUUCUGAAGCAGAAACUGUUGAAGUACAAGGAGAUGAACAGUGCAUAUUAUACUGUGGCAAAAUUCUGGGCGAAGAUCUUUCACAGUUGACCAUUCUGGCAGGGACUGUAUUUGGCAACAUCCUUGUUUGGGCAGCCUCACCAUCUCAACAGAAUAAAUGUCUCUUCCACAGAUUAACUGGUCACAAUGGUGUCAUCUUCUCUAUAAAUUAUGACGAAGUUUCGCACACUAUCAUAUCAACGUCAGACGAUAGAUCUGUUCGUUUUUGGAGUCUCCAAUGCGAAGACGAAGUGCCAAACAAAUUGAGCCUCUGGAGUUUAUUUCAACGAUCGAAAAUUCAUCCCCAAAACGAACUUUAUGGUCAUGAAGCCCGUGUUUGGAACAGUGUCAUAAUCCGUCAAAAUCAGUGUGAUUCGGGACUGGUAGCCAGUUUGGGUGAAGACUCCCGUAUUUGUUUGUGGGAUUUGACGAGCGGCAAAUUGGUAUCCAAGUUUGAUGCUCACCCUGGAACCAGUGUAUGGGCUGCCGUGUGGGAUUCACGACUCCAAUUAUUGGUAACUGCUGGAGGAGAAGGUUCGACACGAAUCUGGAACGCCAAUCAUUUACAGGAAACGAGCUGUCGUCAGCUCCAGCUCACCGAAGACGGCCAAGUUCCACGUUUAGUGAUCGUUACAUCCACGGGUUACUACCGCCACUUGGUGGCCAGUCAGCUGGGCAUCAUUUACGGAUGGGAUAGUCACGCCCAGAUUUGGGUCUCCCUCUUUCAGGACGAGGGACUCGGCAACGGCAGCGUCUUGGAUUCCGACGGUCGGACGAUUAUAUUUGGAACGCGUACCGGAGCUGUGUUCGUGUUCGCUUCCGGCCCGUCGUCCUUGGAACUGCUGGCGACCCAUCAGCUGGAAAAGACGAAAAUUUAUAGCCUGCAUUUGGUCGCAUCGCAGCAGCAAGAGUUUAUGGCCUGUCUCGAUAACGGUCGUCUGCUGCUUAUGAAUGUACUCGGCGGCAGCGAGUCACCACCCAGGGCCCAAUUUAUUCUCCCCGACGGCAAACAGCGAUGGCCCAGCUGUGUUCUGGCCACCCAAAAUCGAUUCAUGAUGGGCGAUCGUGAAGGGAGCUUUCAUCUUUAUUCGACCGAAAAAGAGACUCCGCUUCAAUCUUUUUCGCAUAUCCAUGGCAAGAAUGGCUUGACUGACAUUCAGAGCGAUCCGAACGGCCAACAUCUUUAUUACACCGGAGGAAGAGACGGUCGAAUCGGUCUCUGGCGGUUAACCGACGACCAGAAUCAACUGGAACUUUUGUCACUUACUAACACCAGUCUCGGUUGGAUUGCCGGCUUGCGAUGGAUCGACCAGCAGUUAACAUACCUGGCCUUUCAGAGCGAUCGGUUCGUUGUGUGGUCGAGUGAGCAACAGCGGAGUCUCAUGCAAGUGCCUUGCGGGGGAGGCCACCGAUCAUGGGACUUUGACGUGACGUCGUCUGAUGUCACUUUCCUGUUCAUCAAGGACAGACACAUUUACGAGAAUCGACGUCCAUUGAGCGCCGUUUUCAACUCGUCGCUGCCUGGACGCUGCGGAGGGCACAGCAAAUCGAUUUGCCGUGGCAGGUUCGUCGGAUUCCACGACGACUCGCCGCUCGUCUUGACUGGAAGUGAAGACACGACGAUGAGACUGUCGCGAUUGGAUCGGCGUUCCGCCCAAUCGCUGACCGUCAUAACCAAACACGUUUCCAGCGUCCGAGCCCUGGCCGUCAAGGAACUGGCAUGUAGGUCUGCAGGGACGUGGCUGUGUGUUUCAGCCGGCGGCAGAGCCCAGUUAUCGGUCGGAUUACUGACACUAUCUGGCCAGGGCGAUCAAGUGCACGUCAUUCACCGUGACGUGCGUUCGCAUUUCUUGCGCGGUUGGCUCCGCCGGGCGGCCACCAAUAAGCCCUGGAUUCACGGCAGCGAUCAGCUGUCGCUCAUCCCCGACCCUGAAACCCGCUACAUGGACGUCGAUGUGGUAGACCGUGGCGACAGCAAUUUCCAUAUUAUCGCCGCCUGCUCCGAUAGCUUUAUAAGGAUUUUUUAUCUAUCCCUGGAGGGUGGCCGGUUAGACUUGUUUCACGAACUCAACUUCCACAAUUGCUGCGUCUUGCUGGUCAAAGUGGUGGCCGAUCCGGAUGGCAAUACCAUCCUUUUCUCCGCCGGAACAGAUGGCCGGCUGGCUGUGUGGGACGUAACAGUUGUGGAAGAAGAUAAGGCCAUGGAUCCCUUGGACAGCCUGUCCAUUCAUCAAUCGGGCAUUAAUAGUUUGGACUGCCAAUGGAUCGACCUUAAUCGCAUGCUGGUUCUGACUGGGGGCGACGAUAACGCUCUGAUCUGCACCAAAGUGGAAAUCAGCUGCGAAAGGAAUUUACUGCGAUUAAUCGAUCAGCAAAAGCUGUUCCCCCACGCAGCCCAAAUCUCCGGAGUAGCUCUGCUGGGUCACAACUUGUGUUUAAGCGUGUCACUGGACCAGCGUCUGAUCCUCUGGAAGCGAGAGGACACUCGACUUAUGUGGCAGUCGGCCGUUUGCUGCGACGUCUCCGACAUUCAAGGGCUGCAUGUGUCCGCGGGUGCCACUAAAACUUUGUCCAAAGUCCUGGUUUAUGGUCAAGGUAUUCAAGUCUUUGAAGUGGACGACGACUCGUUAAACAUCGCCCACACGAUUUAGACUAUUCAUCUGUCGACCCGUUCUAACCAACUAAGUCGAACGUUCCAGGUCAUCUGAAUACUCGUUGGAAGCGUCGAAGAAACAAAGAAACAAAUCUCUAUCAAAAUUGUCUAGGACAGGAGAGCGAGCUACUGGUGGGGAAACCUUGGGAAACGGCUGUUGUUGUGCGCAGGAUCUCUUGCUGUGCCGUGUCUAAAAAUGAUGUGGCCCAUCAUCUUCGAGAGACUGUUUGGCACCACGAAGAAAA
This 3387-nucleotide unclassified non-coding RNA is filed under the name Daphnia pulex (common water flea). Its description in RNAcentral is "wD repeat-containing protein 6-like, transcript variant X4". The record is from RNAcentral. Lineage: Eukaryota; Metazoa; Arthropoda; Branchiopoda; Diplostraca; Daphniidae.